GACGAACGCUGGCGGCGUGCCUAAUACAUGCAAGUCGUGCGGACCUUGUUGAAAGCUUGCUUUUAAAAGGUUAGCGGCGGACGGGUGAGUAACACGUGGGCAACCUGCCUGUAAGACUGGGAUAACGCCGGGAAACCGGGGCUAAUACCAGAUCGUUUUUUCCUCCGCAUGGAGGAAAAAGGAAAGGCGGCUUCGGCUGCCACUUACGGAUGGGCCCGCGGCGCAUUAGCUAGUUGGCGGGGUAAUGGCCCACCAAGGCAACGAUGCGUAGCCGACCUGAGAGGGUGAUCGGCCACAUUGGGACUGAGACACGGCCCAAACUCCUACGGGAGGCAGCAGUAGGGAAUCUUCCGCAAUGGACGAAAGUCUGACGGAGCAACGCCGCGUGAGUGAAGAAGGCCUUCGGGUCGUAAAACUCUGUUGCCGGGGAAGAACAAGUGCCGUUCGAACAGGGCGGCGCCUUGACGGUACCCGGCCAGAAAGCCACGGCUAACUACGUG
This 500-nucleotide ribosomal RNA is filed under the name uncultured bacterium. RNAcentral's name for it is "partial 16S ribosomal RNA". It matches the Rfam family "Bacterial small subunit ribosomal RNA", at positions 28 to 507 of the family's 1533-position model. The record is from RNAcentral.